UGCCGCAUAGCUCAAUUGGCAGAGCUCCCGACUAUUAACGGGUGGGUCCUGGUUCGAGUCCAGGUGCGGCAA
RNAcentral lists this transfer RNA (72 nucleotides) under Gordonia phage Bantam. It matches the Rfam family "tRNA". From Rfam's summary of the family: Transfer RNA (tRNA) molecules are approximately 80 nucleotides in length. Their secondary structure includes four short double-helical elements and three loops (D, anti-codon, and T loops). Lineage: Duplodnaviria; Heunggongvirae; Uroviricota; Caudoviricetes. The record is from Rfam by way of RNAcentral.